UGGGGAAUAUUGGACAAUGGGCGCAAGCCUGAUCCAGCCAUGCCGCGUGAGUGAUGAAGGCCUUAGGGUUGUAAAGCUCUUUCGCCGGUGAAGAUAAUGACGGUAACCGGAGAAGAAGCCCCGGCUAACUUCGUGCCAGCAGCCGCGGUAAUACGAAGGGGGCUAGCGUUGCUCGGAAUCACUGGGCGUAAAGCGCACGUAGGCGGAUCGUUAAGUCAGGGUGAAAUCCUGGAGCUCAACUCCAGAACUGCCCUUGAUACUGGCGAUCUCGAGUUCGAGAGAGGUUGGUGGAACUCCGAGUGUAGAGGUGAAAUUCGUAGAUAUUCGGAAGAACACCAGUGGCGAAGGCGGCCAACUGGCUCGAUACUGACGCUGAGGUGCGAAAGCGUGGGGAGCAAACAGGGUUAGAUACCCUGGUAGUCCACGCCGUAAAACGAUGGAUGCUAGCCGUUGGGGGGUUUACCUCUCAGUGGCGCAGCUAACGCCUUAAGCAUCCCGCCUGGGGAGUACGGUCGCAAGAUUAAAACUCAAAUGAAUUGACGGGGUCAUAGCUGUUUCCU
RNAcentral lists this ribosomal RNA (560 nucleotides) under uncultured bacterium. RNAcentral describes it as "partial 16S ribosomal RNA". It matches the Rfam family "Bacterial small subunit ribosomal RNA", at positions 355 to 1375 of the family's 1533-position model. The record is from RNAcentral.